This 999-nucleotide ribosomal RNA is filed under the name uncultured bacterium. RNAcentral's name for it is "bacterial SSU rRNA". It matches the Rfam family "Bacterial small subunit ribosomal RNA", at positions 505 to 1501 of the family's 1533-position model. The record is from RNAcentral.
GUGCCAGCAGCCGCGGUAAUACGAAGGGUGCAAGCGUUAAUCGGAAUUACUGGGCGUAAAGGGUGCGUAGGCGGUUGGUUAAGUCUAUUGUGAAAUCCCCGGGCUCAACCUGGGAAUGGCAAUGGAUACUGGCGAGCUAGAGUGUGUCAGAGGAUGGUGGAAUUCCCGGUGUAGCGGUGAAAUGCGUAGAGAUCGGGAGGAACAUCAGUGGCGAAGGCGGCCAUCUGGGACAACACUGACGCUGAAGCACGAAAGCGUGGGGAGCAAACAGGAUUAGAUACCCUGGUAGUCCACGCCCUAAACGAUGCGAACUGGAUGUUGGUCUCAACUCGGAGAUCAGUGUCGAAGCUAACGCGUUAAGUUCGCCGCCUGGGGAGUACGGUCGCAAGACUGAAACUCAAAGGAAUUGACGGGGGCCCGCACAAGCGGUGGAGUAUGUGGUUUAAUUCGAUGCAACGCGAAGAACCUUACCUGGCCUUGACAUGUCCGGAAUCCUGCAGAGAUGCGGGAGUGCCUUCGGGAAUCGGAACACAGGUGCUGCAUGGCUGUCGUCAGCUCGUGUCGUGAGAUGUUGGGCUAAGUCCCGCAACGAGCGCAACCCUUGUCCUUAGUUGCCAGCACGUCAUGGUGGGAACUCUAAGGAGACUGCCGGUGACAAACCGGAGGAAGGUGGGGAUGACGUCAAGUCCUCAUGGCCCUUACGGCCAGGGCUACACACGUACUACAAUGGUCGGUACAGAGGGUUGCGAAGCCGCGAGGUGGAGCCAAUCCCAGAAAGCCGAUCCCAGUCCGGAUCGAAGUCUGCAACUCGACUUCGUGAAGUCGGAAUCGCUAGUAAUCGCGGAUCAGCUAUGCCGCGGUGAAUACGUUCCCGGGCCUUGUACACACCGCCCGUCACACCAUGGGAGUGGGUUGCUCCAGAAGCCGUUAGUCUAACCGCAAGGAGGACGACGACCACGGAGUGGUUCACGACUGGGGUGAAGUCGUAACAAGGUAACC